This is a non-coding RNA of Arachis ipaensis, 4138 nucleotides long. The record is from RefSeq and is a predicted model, not a curated record. Lineage: Eukaryota; Viridiplantae; Streptophyta; Magnoliopsida; Fabales; Fabaceae.
AAAAAGGCCCAAACGAAGGAAAAUUGAAAAGCAAGAAAACCCAAAUAUCUUAAAUCGAAUGUGUUCCCCCAACAAGGAAAACCCUAACACGCGUUGCCACCACUGUCAAAUCCAAAAACGACGAUAUGUGCUCUGCUCUGGCAACCUUCUGCACCAGCGACUGCUCCGACAACGAUCUGCUCCAGUGAAUGAUCCGGUGAUGAUUUGCUCCAGCGAAUGCUCCGGCGACGAUUUUCUCGGCGUUCUCCUCCGAUGAGAUUGUGUGCUGUGAACUGAAACGCUGUCUUCAGCGAGCUUCUAUGAUUUGGAUUGGAUAUGAAGAUUGCCACUCAUCUCAUCGCCGUCAUUCACCUCUGCUCCAUUGCGAUCUCUAUCACUUCUAAUAGAUUCUGGUCCCUAGGAUUGAAACCAUGACAGAGCAACAAAGGUCAAACAUAAGCAACCUUGGAAAAUCUUGUCAGCAAGCAGAAGAUGCUCUUUCACAAGGCAUGGACAAACUUCAACAAAUGGUUUUAGAAUCUGUAGCAGCAGGACAACUUGAAGAACAAACUAACACUCCAAACAUGUCUACUGCAAUGGAGAGAUUGGCAGGUCUAGUGAGCUUUGUGAACCAAUUAACAUGGGCUCUUGGUCAAUGUUGCAGUAUUAAAGGUGUUGGAAGCUGAUAAAUGCUUGGAGGUACACAGAAAUAGGUCUUUUUGUGGAUCCUCCUUCUGUCUUUAUGAGCAACAAUACGUGGAGUCUUUUGUUGCCUGAAGGGUUUCAGAUUGAAAAUCUGAAACUUGGUAACAUUAGUAAGUUUCAAAAUUCCAACACUAAUUCCUUUGUUUAGAAUAUCAUCAUAUUCUUUGUUGACAUUUUCACAGCCUUUGCUUCACGUGACAAAAUAUUUCUCAAGGGCAGGGAUACUUCUGAGCUUGCUGUAGUCUAUUCAUCUUACUUAUCAAAACGGUUAUCUAGAUAUAGAGGGUCCAAUAAUAUUGGAGCAUUGAUUAUGGAACCAGGCAAGAAUUUUAUGAGCUUGCAUAAUUUGAAGUCGUCAUUUUAAUUUCAAACUCUCCUCAUUUCCCUCUAAUGAUCUUAUCUGUUGAUAUUACUUUCUCCAAUGAAUAAAUAUGAAUGAAAAAAAUAGAACAAGAAUCAGUUACUCACUUAACACACAUCAACGUGAUAAUAUAUUAGAGCUAUGCUCACAGUAAUGCAAUUUUCUAUGUAAGAAAAAUAUUGCAUAUGGUUUCUACUCUCUAGAUCUUUCAAAAAGCAAAAGUUUCUUGCUUUUCUGUCUUGGUUUCUUAAGACGUUUUCAUUCUUUAGUUGUUCCAUUGUCUAUUUAGAUUUCUAAAUUAAAAUAGUUGCACCUACUUCCCUAAAUUUCUAUAAUCUCAUUUGGACCUGAACUUUUCUUUAGUUAUACAAGGUGUUGAAGGAAUGCAUAUGGUUGAUCCAUUGUUUCAGCGAGUACUUGUUAAUGAGUGUUGGAGUAGAAAUAUUUCGGUUAUCUUUGUUGAGAUUUUAUAGUCAAUGUUUUAUUUUUAUGCUACUAGGAUUUAUAGUUAAUUUAAAAUUUAAUAUUUAGGUUUAAAACGUUGAUAAGUAUUAGUUAAAAAAUAUUAUAAAUAUAAAGUAAAUAUUGAUUUUGUAAGUUUUUAUGUAUUUAAUGUAUUGAAAAAAUUAAAAUUUUCUUUGUUUAAUUUACUUCCUUUACUAAUACUCUUAAUUCACUUUUUAGUCAAAUGAUAGAUAACUAUAUAGCAAAUUUGUAAGGAAAAAAAUUAAAAACUUUAGGUUAUUAGCUAACCUUUAUAAUUAUAUACGCACAACUAUAUUUGAGUUAUUAAAAACUUUCCCACAUUCUUUUUAUAUAUUUUUUAUUAUUUUUAUUUUUCAGUGCUUCUGGAUGCAACAAAUCAUGGUUUUUCUAUUUUUAAGUUCCAAAUUUUUAUAAAUAUUUGAUAUUUGAUUUAGCCAUUUAGCUUUUAGUCCUAAUAUUUUGUGUUUAUGGAAAGCCAUGUUCCUCAACAGUAUCUUGAUGUCAUAUUAAUGUGAUAUGUCCUCUUGUUCUAGUUAACUCAAGGCUCUCUUGCAUGGACAUUCUAACUCUGCACAUGCUUUGGGUUGCAUGGCUACUGUUAAAUCAAUCCAAUGGUUUAAAAAUCCUUGUUCCAACCCUAAUGCCACAUCUGGAGGAAGAUUACUUAAGGAGGAUGUCGGUAAGGAACUCAACUUCUAGCUAUUGAUGUCGCUGCUGCUACAGGUUUUGCUUAGAAAGGCUCUGAUUGGGGAUGAAUUGACUGAGAAGAAGAAGAAAACGCUUAAAAGAAUGCUGAUUGCAUGGUUUCAGUUGUUCCUAUUGGUGUUUUAAUGCUUCUUCCAUGACAUCUCAGGCCGCCUUCCACUCUGGCAGUCUCCUCUCGAUAUCCGUCUCUUCUUCAGGCGAGCUUCGAUGCAACUCUGGCAGCUACUGCAACUCCUUCCCCUCUAGUAGCCACUACAACUCCUUUCUCUCCGACAGCCACUACAACUCCUUCCCUAAGCUUCAUUUCCUUUCUGUUGCUGCAACCCAGACAUGACGGCAGGCAGAGGUAGCACGAAUCAACCUCGUGAUCGUGGUAGAGAGAGGGUGUCUAUUGGUACCCAUAGGACUUCUAGUCAUUGCCCUCUACCCCUGGGACAUCACAGGCAAUCGGUGCACAGAAUCAGCCGUUCAUCAUGGUCCUUAACCCAAACUACAUAGUUCCUUCUGUUGUGCCAUCCCUGCCACUAGGAAGUCGUCCGACUGCUUCACCAGAGUGGACUCCUCCACCACAUCCAUAUGCUUAGUAGCCCACUAUUUCGAGGACUACACCUCCAGCGACAGACACUGGCGUUGCUAGAAUCCUCUUAGAAUCCUAGCCAGAUGCUCCUUCACCACCUCCCAUCGUACGUACGGAUGACGAUUUAGCCUGAUAGUUUGACGGCGAGUGUACUAAUGUCAUCAAACUGAUGUACGACCACCCAUGGCCGAGCUAUAAGAAGAUCCCUACUAAGACCAGAGAGUGAUGGUUUCGGAAGUGGGCAGAUAAAUUUAUAUAGGACAAGACUCACGAUGCCACGAUCAGGAAGAUCUUCAACCAUUAGAUGGCAAGGCGACUUCAGUAGAUGUUGGAGGACUACGUGAGAGGCAUGGCCACCUCACUAUUUGGCUCCACCCGGACAUCAAGAAGGCAUUGUAUGUCCAUUGAGAGACUAAUGAGGGGUUCAAGAAUCACCAUCUCACAAACAGAGCUAACAGGGCCAUUAUUUUGUCCAGUCAAAGUCGUUGGAUCGUGAUGCGAUGAUAACGGAGACUUUCAAGUAUACUCACACUUUGAAACAGAAUAAGGAGAGAUUUACUUAUCAGUGGUAUGCGUAUCAUUAUGUGAGUAAACAUCAUGUGAUAUAAAAUUUUCAAUUAAUUGCAGUCCUAAUCAUAACAUGUGUUACACAAGAGUUCUACACACAGAGAUUAGAGGCCGCAACCCAACAAUCUCAGCAUAUUAGAGACGAAAACAACAACUCCGUUGCAUCAGAAGUCGAUCCUAACAUAGUUUGGCACGAGACCACAUCUGAUCCGUACAAGAAUCGCAUCUACGAGCUGGGAUCAUUCUUUGCCGACAACCUCCGCACCUCCACAUUGAGACCUUCAUUUGCCUCUGCCACCAACAGUCCUGUUUCUCCAAGGAUGACGUCGAUUUGAGGGAGCAGGUGUUAGAGCUCACUCAAAGGCUUCACCAACAGGCUCAGCAGAUAUAGUAGUCUAAUGAGAGAUAUCAGGAGAUCUUCACACGCGUGUCAGACACAAAUUCCCUUAGGCUAGAGUGGAAGCGAGAGCUGAAGCAAUUUCAAUAGAUGGAGCAACAGAUGCCAGUGUAUCAAGAUCAGAUGCGUGCUAGUGGCAGCGAUGCUGCCGAUGGUAGUGGCACUUCUGGUGGAGCAUCGGCACCACCGCCUAGUCUAUCACCUCAGCAUGACUAGCUCAAGGAUGACAACGAUAACGACGACUAUCAAGAUCUUUAGUGAUUAGAGUUUUGUUCUAGACUAUUUCAUUGUAUUUUAUUUAUUUGACUUUUUAUUUUAUUUGUACACUUGAUAUUUAAUUUACCAUAUUUGGUUCCAAUUA